GUUUGAAGAUCUUUCCUCUAGUAUAUAUAAUGCUACACAGUUAACAUGGUUCACUAGCUAUUGGGAAGGGACAUUAUGGUUUAGGAGAUGCAAGUCCUUUAUGCAAAACAAGUCACACGUGCUGGGCCUUGGGCUCUUGGGGAAUGUGGACCUUCAAACAAUGUUUUUUUUGGGAAAAAUACUUAUGAGGCUUUGUUGCAUUAUUUGUAACAUUUGUAACAUAGUUAUGGCCCAAAAACGAAAGCCCAUAACAAAUUUGGUUUGCAUUAUCAAAAGAGAAUAUUCGAAUAUUCAUUAAACGGAAUUCCAAUUCAAAGUCAAAAACGUGUGUAUUAAUGGCUCCGCCAAUCACGCCCACGACUGUUUAAUCUCCGCCGUGAUUUGUGGAUCGCAUAUUCUCUCCUCUCCCCUAUAAAAGGAAUACCUUCUCCUCUCAUUUCACUCACUCGUUUCUUGCUAAAGGCUAAACAAAACUUUCUCCCUCUCUCCGUUUCUUCUUAAAGAGUUUAUCGUUUAUUUCAAGUUCGUAGAUUCCGCUAUCGAGUGUUGCGAUACCGGUCUUAUAGUGAUUGUAUCAUGCGGUUUGUUGCUCAUAAAACUGCCACACUGCGGGGACUAGUUUUGAUUACGGAAAGAGAUCAUAUCUCGCCUUCACUCAUUUUCGAAAACCGUAUUUUCUAAUCGUUUUAUAAAGAUCUUUGAUUUUAUUUAAAAUCAGGACUUCGCGGUCCUACAAACAAUGCGGUCCAAAUUCCAAACCCCGUAAGCGAAAAGAUAAGUAGACGUGUUGAUCAACGCGUGGAUUUUCCAUCAGCUUGAGAGACUCCAUUCUUGGGUUUGAUAUUUGUUUCAAACACGUAUAACCUAACAUUAAUCAAUAUUUUUUCCACUUGUGUUGGAUUCUUCCUUUCGUUGUUCCCUGUAUACUUCAAUAUUAUCUUAUAAAAAAAGAGUAACAUAGAAUAUAUGUCAUCAGAUAGUAGGAACAUUGCUUCACUCAUAAAGAGCUCAACCCCAAGUAACUCAG
This is a long non-coding RNA of Arabidopsis thaliana (thale cress), 1027 nucleotides long. RefSeq annotates it as other RNA. The transcript has a single exon. NCBI's taxonomy places the organism in Eukaryota, Viridiplantae, Streptophyta, Magnoliopsida, Brassicales, Brassicaceae. The record is from RefSeq.